RNAcentral lists this ribosomal RNA (405 nucleotides) under uncultured bacterium. RNAcentral's name for it is "bacterial SSU rRNA". It matches the Rfam family "Bacterial small subunit ribosomal RNA", at positions 356 to 773 of the family's 1533-position model. The record is from RNAcentral.
AAGGAAUAUUGGUCAAUGGACGCAAGUCUGAACCAGCCAUGCCGCGUGGGGGAUGAAGGCCUUCGGGUUGUAAACCCCUUUCGGUAGGGACGAAGGGAAACUGACGGUACCUGCAGAAGAAGUCCCGGCUAACUACGUGCCAGCAGCCGCGGUAACACGUAGGGGACGAGCGUUGUCCGGAUUCAUUGGGCGUAAAGCGCGCGUAGGCGGCUCGGAAAGUCGGUCGUGAAAUGCCGGGGCUCAACCCCGGGACUGCGUCCGAUACUUCCGGGCUGGAGGUAGGUAGGGGAGAUCGGAAUUCCUGGUGUAGCGGUGAAAUGCGCAGAUAUCAGGAGGAACACCGGUGGCGAAGGCGGAUCUCUGGGCCUUACCUGACGCUGAGGCGCGAAAGCUAGGGGAGCGAAC